RNAcentral lists this ribosomal RNA (468 nucleotides) under uncultured bacterium. RNAcentral describes it as "partial 16S ribosomal RNA". It matches the Rfam family "Bacterial small subunit ribosomal RNA", at positions 28 to 507 of the family's 1533-position model. The record is from RNAcentral.
GACGAACGCUGGCGGCGUGCUUAACACAUGCAAGUCGAACGGAAAGGCCCUGCUUUUGUGGGGUGCUCGAGUGGCGAACGGGUGAGUAACACGUGAGUAACCUGCCCUUGACUUUGGGAUAACUUCAGGAAACUGGGGCUAAUACCGGAUAGGAGCUCCUGCUGCAUGGUGGGGGUUGGAAAGUUUCGGCGGUUGGGGAUGGACUCGCGGCUUAUCAGCUUGUUGGUGGGGUAGUGGCUUACCAAGGCUUUGACGGGUAGCCGGCCUGAGAGGGUGACCGGCCACAUUGGGACUGAGAUACGGACCAGACUCCUACGGGAGGCAGCAGUGGGGAAUAUUGCACAAUGGGCGGAAGCCUGAUGCAGCGACGCCGCGUGCGGGAUGACGGCCUUCGGGUUGUAAACCGCUUUAGCCUGUGACGAAGCGUGAGUGACGGUAAUGGGUAAAGAAGCACCGGCUAACUACGUG